AUUGAACGCUGGCGGCAUGCUUUACUCAUGCAAGUCGAACGGCAGCACGGGUGCUUGCACCUGGUGGCGAGUGGCGAACGGGUGAGUAAUACAUCGGAACGUACCUAUUAGUGGGGGAUAACUAAGCGAAAGUUUAGCUAAUACCGCAUACGACCUGAGGGUGAAAGCGGGGGAUCUUCGGACCUCGCGCUAAUAGAGCGGCCGAUGGCUGAUUAGCUAGUUGGUGAGGUAAAGGCUCACCAAGGCGACGAUCAGUAGCGGGUCUUAGGGGACGAUCCGCCACACUGGAACUGAGACACGGUCCAGACUCCUACGGGAGGCAGCAGUGGGGAAUCUUGGACAAUGGGCGAAAGCCUGAUCCAGCAAUGCCGCGUGGGUGAAGAAGGCCUUCGGGUUGUAAAGCCCUUUUGUACGGGAGCAAAUCCUUGUCACUAAUACUGGCUGGGGAUGAGAGUACCGUAAGAAUCAGCACCGGCUAACUACGUGCCAGCCGCCGCCGUAA
RNAcentral lists this ribosomal RNA (502 nucleotides) under uncultured bacterium. RNAcentral's name for it is "partial 16S ribosomal RNA". It matches the Rfam family "Bacterial small subunit ribosomal RNA", at positions 30 to 523 of the family's 1533-position model. The record is from RNAcentral.